UCCGCCCGCUGGCGGCGUGCUUAACACAUGCAAGUCGAACGGAAAGGCCCUGCUUUUGUGGGGUGCUCGAGUGGCGAACGGGUGAGUAACACGUGAGUAACCUGCCCUUGACUUUGGGAUAACUUCAGGAAACUGGGGCUAAUACCGGAUAGGAGCUCCUGCUGCAUGGUGGGGGUUGGAAAGUUUCGGCGGUUGGGGAUGGACUCGCGGCUUAUCAGCCUGUUGGUGGGGUAGUGGCUUACCAAGGCUUUGACGGGUAGCCGGCCUGAGAGGGUGACCGGCCACAUUGGGACUGAGAUACGGCCCAGACUCCUACGGGAGGCAGCAGUGGGGAAUAUUGCACAAUGGGCGGAAGCCUGAUGCAGCAACGCCGCGUGCGGGAUGACGGCCUUCGGGUUGUAAACCGCUUUCGCCUGUGACGAAGCGUGAGUGACGGUAAUGGGUAAAGAAGCACCGGCUAACUACGUG
RNAcentral lists this ribosomal RNA (468 nucleotides) under uncultured bacterium. RNAcentral describes it as "partial 16S ribosomal RNA". It matches the Rfam family "Bacterial small subunit ribosomal RNA", at positions 34 to 507 of the family's 1533-position model. The record is from RNAcentral.